GCUACAGCAGCUUGGGAUAAGACUAAGAUCCACACAGGCUCUGAGGCAUUUGGAGGCAGAAGAACCUAACUGAUGGUCAUUGCACUGGGACAGAGCAAGUGCCCAAGAAUAGGAGAACUCAAGCUUGCUUGUAGGAGAAGAGGAACUUCCCAGCAAAAGGAAUAGUCAGGGCAAGGCGUGCUCCAUGUGCUAACAGCUAGGGAGGAGCUGUGCUGAGGGCACAGUGGCCUGCAUUACUGAGAGAGAAUUUGUGAGGCAUGUGGCAGCAGAUGAGGCUGCGGUUAGGCAGGUGGAAGUGUUUGUGUUCAACUCCUGAGUGUAGAUUUCUCCUUGAAAGCAAUGGGCAGCCUUUGGAAGAGUCUCAGAAGGAUAAAGUUGUUGUUUUUGUUUUUGUUUUUGUUUUUUUUUUUUUAGAACUGAGUUUCUAGAGAGGCAGUUUGGAGCCAGGUUGAAAUAACAAGGCAAGCUGAGAAGGCAUUGCAAUAGUGUUUGGGUGAGUGAUGACGGGCUCUGAACUGUAGCAGUGGUGAUGGGCCAAAAGCAGAGGAAGGCUGUCGAUGAAGAAGCGGAGUCUCCAGGAUACACAAGGCACCAGGGCCCCUGUGGAAGAUGCUUCAAGACGUGGAUGGGGACAGGAGAGAUCACUGAGCCCGACAACUCUUUCAGGUGAGUCUGAGGGAGCGAGCACAGCUGCACUCUCCUCCAGAGAGGCUAGCAGAGAAGGUCUGAUUUCCAUGUGUGAGGCUCAGGUGAGCAGAUUCCCUUGGCCCAGGAUCCCCGCUCACCCUCUACAGGACAGAGGAGGGUAUCCCAGCUCUUUCUUGGGUUUGCAGACCAUGAAACCGGGAGAGGCAAAAAUGAUGACCCUCCUCCAACAGCAUGAAAUGGAGGAGGAGUCUUACCUCAGUCCAGAGUGACCAGGGCAAGCCCUUCCUGCUAAGUGCUUUGGUUUCUACAUAUGCAAAGGUUUCUGGGACUAAACCUGACCUCCAUGGUGCUAACCACUGUAUCUGAAGAGCACUCGAUGCUGUUAACUACACAUGCAAUGGAUUUUCCCCUCAAAUUGAGCUUCCUGAUCCAGGUGUUGGUUUUGCGGGCGCGUUUUCUGGAAGUGCCUCCUUGACUUCUCUUGCAUGGCAUGCUUCUUCCUAAAAGAUGGCUACUGUUAUAUUCCCACUAGCUCUGUCGCUGCCUUUACCUCAUGAAUUCUCCUCCCUGCCUACAUACCUGCUCUGGGACAUGGCCCCAAAGAUCUUUUAGGGGCAGCAAAGCACUCAGGAAACAGAUGUGGCAUUUGAAUAUCGAGCCCCUAAGGUACUCCCAGGGGAUGGUCUGAGUGGCAAUACUACUGCCUAUAACAUGUCCCCAGAGACUACAGGAAGCUACACAGCCAGACACACAAAGGUAAGUCUGACAGGCAGCCACAGUGGCACCCUGAUUUGAAGGGAGGGAGGGACCAAACUCUUGCCGAACCAUCAAAAGGCCUGGACCUUGAUGCUGUCACAUUCCUUUCCCGUGGUUACUAACUUGUUCCACUAACAACACCCAGAAUAUGAGAAAAGUCUAAUAUCUCCAUGCCUAAGGAGGGGUGGCCAUGAUGGCCGGCUAGCCUCAAGAUCUAAAGAAUACCCUCACGCCUGUUAGGUCUUCGAUUCUUACGCAGAGCUUGAGUGAAUCCUCUCGUGUUCCUGCUGUCAGGAAGGUUGAAGAACUCGGGUUAGCUCUCCUGUUUGUUCCCUCUCUUCUCCUCAUGUGCAACCGGUGUCAUCUUAAGAUAAUAGUUAAUCGACUACCAAGCCAGAGGGCAUUAUUUUAGUCCUUGCCAAACAUACAGGAGCAAAUCUGCUCACCUUUUCCCCUCGGGAAACAGUUUAGGACAAGGGACCAUUUGUGAAGCCAGAGUAGCAUUUGCAUUGGCGUGCACAGUGUCUAGUUUCCAGCACCAAGAUCUUAGUGUGUGACCCUUCCUGACCCUUACUGCACUCCCCUGCCAUCUGCGUUCCUUAGUUCGUUAGAAGAAGAGGAAGGCAGUGCAAAGCAAAUGCUCAGAGGAACCUCCCUCGCCGUACCGGUCAUCAUGUGUGUCGGACAUCAGAAUGGCUUCUGAAAGGAGGUUCUCAACCCGUGGGUCUCAAGGCCUAGGGCAAACGACCUUUUCACAGAGGUCACAUAUCAGAUAUCUGCAUAUCAGGUGUUCGAAUUUAAGACUCACCACAGUAUCAAAAUCAGAGUUAUGAAGUAGCAACAAAAUGAAUUUUAUGAUUGUGGGAGUUACCACAGCAUGAGGAACUGUAUUAAAGGGCUGAAGUAUUAGGAAGAUUGAGAGCCACUGCCUUAAAGGGACAUUUUAAGGCAGGAGGUGAGAACAGAAACACUCUUCUACUGAUGGAGAUACUUCAAGGGUUCCCUAUGAUGUAGACGAUCCCCAGAAGGUCAGAAGAAACAUUACCUGGGAGUUUAUUAGGAGUGCAGAAGAUCAGGCCCAUCCAGACUGCCCUAGAUGAGAACUAUAUUUUAAUGAGAACCACAGGCAUCUGCUAUAACAUCUUUGGCUAACUCCUGGAGGGAAUCUUCACCAGCUCCAUGUCUUCCUACUUCUGUACCAGCCUGUGAUCCUGUAAUCUCUUCUCUUCCUUUUUGCUUCUGAGCCAAGUCUUUUUCAUCCAGUAAAGUCUGGCUUAAAAAAAAAAAAUCUCACCUCCACCAAGAAUCCAGCCAGGUCUUGCCAGUUAGAGGUCUCUUCUUCCUCCAACUCCAAAUGCCAUGGCCAUGAGCUUUCUGUCUCAGAUUAGUUUUAUUUUUUUUAAUCUUUAUGAUCAUAAUUUAUCUCUCUCAUUCUAAGUCAUCAGUGUUUCGGGUGCAGGUCUAUACCUGAUUUAUUUCUGUAUUGCUCACAACACUUUACAAUGCUUCAAUCACAAGCUAACUCUGCAACAUUUCUGCCCAUGAUGUUUUAAUCUAUUUUUACUUUAGGUAUUGUCAGAGAUUCAUAAACUACAAUUCGUAUUUUUGUUACUUUCAGACACAUAACCAUACAUGACUGAUUUAGAUUUGGAAAUAUUUACCUAAAAUAUUUAUCCACAUACUUACAGAUACCCCUUGCUCCAAACACACACACACACACACACACACACACACACACACACACACACACACACACAGAGAGAGAGAGAGAGAGAGAGAGAGAGAGAGAGAGAGAGAGAGAGAGAGAUUUGUUUUGUUUUCUAUAGCUAGAAUUAUACUUAGGAAGAAUUUAUUGAGAGUGCACGGGGAAUGACUGCUACUAGCAUUCAGUAAUCUUACCAAGAGAGGAGGAGGGAUGAGAUCUUAUAAUAGAAUUGGAACAUAAUGACACACACAUCUCAGAGUCUCACUCAGGAUCUGCAUUUGGGACAAUCAAAGGUCCCCUGGCCCUUGUUCAGUCGCUUAAUGGAGAAGACUCCAAAGACAGAAUGCCACUGGUGUCCUUCCAAUUAUAGAAUCAUCUGAUUAGAAUUACAGUAAAUGCAUAGCUCAGUUUGCAUUGUCCUGAUGUGAACUAUGAUGCCUCUCUUCCUAAAGCAUCUGAGGGUGCUGUACUCUGGAAGUGUAGUGCCACGUCACAGCAGGGUCCUUGUGCCAGGAAUGUCCCUUAGAAAUGGGACAGAAACAAGUUAGGACACUCCAUUUUUGUGGACCUUAGAUCCCAAGGUACCAGAGCUAGAUAAGUUUUUUAAAUAAAUGCUGAGAAGAAAAACUAAAGUGCCACACACUUUGGACAGUGGCAUAGUUCAGACGUAGAAGGAAGGGUUGUCUUUGGGAUUAUUUUGAAUUAGUGAUUCUAGUUCACUUUUAGUCUGGUAUAUGGAGUCUAAGAGGUGAUCUAUAGAACACAAGUUUGUAACAUCUUGAAAUUGGUUCCAUGUCCUAUCUGGCUAUAAAAGAACAAAGUAGGACUUCUUAGUCUUCGGGAUUGCAAAUGUAUCCUUUUCUACUCAUUCUAUUCGAGCACGAGGCUCGGGCAUUGGGAGGGUAUUGGAGCCAAGUCUGACUGCUGUGUUAUUAGUGCUGCUCACUUAAUCAUCAGACUGUUAAGUUUGACUGCCCGAAACCCAGCUGGAACCGGAGGCUGGGUGGGGGCUGCACUUUGAAGCCACCAAGACAGAGUGCUGUUGGAUCAAACUCUGCUCUACUGAACCAUGAAAUAGGCUUUCAAAGGGGCAGAGAAAAAACCAGAUGUGCGAGCCAUGAGUAAAAGUGUCUCACCAGAAGGCUAACAUUCAUAAUGAAGGAAAGGAAAGCCGACUGCGUGGUGGGCCUCUGUCCAGGUCACCCACAAACCCAGGCCCAGUAGCAACCCAGAAGCAUGAGGAAGUCAGCUUCUGAGGAUCUGGUUCCUUGCACUUGUACUGUGAAUGAUAAGACACACAGUCACAGCAGGCAACUUUGGUCAGGUGUAGUUAGUUUCUUUAGUGCUGGCAUUUGCUUCUUACCUGAGUGGUUUUCUAAGCACAUUUCCUUGUCCAGUCCCAUCUAUCUCGCUAUGUGUUUUGUUUUGUUUUGUUUGAGACAGGGUCUCUCUAUGUAGCCCUGGCUAUCCUAAAACUCACUAGGCAGACCAGGCUGACCUUGAAGUCACAGAGAUAUGCGUGCCUUGACCUCCCGAGACACCAUGCCUACAUCACUGUAGUCUUAUGAAAAGCUAAGGAAAUAGUAUAUAGGAGAAUUACCCUGAUUCAAGUUGGGAGACCGGGAGGAUAAAUCUACUUUUUAAAAUUACCAUAGCACAAGACAGAUCCGACAACUCCUCACUGGCUGUCUUACAGCACUCAAGUUCUAGAGAAUUUUCAUCCCUGCUUUGAACCAACCAAACGAAUCAAUCAUAGAUACCUGAGAGAUUAUCUACAUCAAAUAAAGGUAUCACAACCAGGGAAAACGCAGAUGUCAAGUCAUACAUAUACUAUACAUGUACGUGCAUCAUGGUGGAUAUGUAAAAAUAGACAGAGUAGUAAAUUUCACAAGCAAACUCUUAACUGGCAGGGGAAUUAAUUCUUAGGCUCCUGGUUGAGGGAAAUCUUUGGUUCCUGGAGGUGAAAGGGAAAGUUUUAAGAGCUGUUGGUUUGGACCCAGUCAGUUUGCCUAUCCACACCCUGGCAGUGCCUCCUCAUGCUAUCUGACAUCUUUCUCUAGGUUCGCAAGAGAUGAACACUGCUGCUGAGAUUCUACAUCAAAUUUUGUUUGUCACAGAUGCAGAGGCCUCGUCCACUGAAACUGUUCAAAGCGUGGAGAAGGCAUCCAUAAAAUGUUAGUGCUGAAAGUGUGGAGAAAAUCGUUUUCAGUGUGGUGGGCAAGAGUUAAGAGCAGACCCUUCCAGUCCACAGAGUAGAGAAUCCAGUCACCAUCUGACAACCCAGUCCACCAGUCAGCUAACCCAAAUCCUUCUUAAAUGCUGCCCAAGGUCCUGGGUGAGGGUUGCAAGGCCUUCAGCAGCUAUCCACCAACUGCUCUGAUUUAGGGGUGAAACAAUGGGGCUCAAUUGGGGAAGUGCCUGUGUCCAAGGUCAUCAGAGAAUACAUGGUGAAACCAAGACAAAUGUAUACCCCGACUUCAGAGCUGGUGUCCCUGCAGCACACGACACUCUGAGAAGUGUCACUGUACAUAAAGACCCAGAAUGGGAGGUCUUCCUGAGGACUGUGGGACUCUUUCUGCAUUUGUCUAUGAAACUGAAGAACCUAUGCGUCCUUAGGUUCUUGCAUGACAAAGGGGAAACUCUGGGUUGGGUUAGCUCUCUGAAAGUGGUACUUAAGAGUUUGGGAUUCUAGACUUUUCACCCCAUCUUGGACACUGAUCUUUGUAUACGACAUACUUUGACUCCACGCUAGACUGCUUGAACCCCUUGGAAGACCGUGCCUAGAAAUGAAGACAAAUGGAGGUAAUUUUCUCUUCUCAAGAGUGUUCCAAGGAGCACACAUAAGCACUAUCCAUAGCCAGCUCUUACUGAGAUAUAUGUAGGCAUGGAAAUGAAAUGCCACUCAUGUCCACUAGAGACAGACAGUUUCAACUCCCGUGUUCUGUGUAUGCAUAGACAGGGUCAAUUAAAGCUACAACACCCCUUUUUUACUUUCAACAUCAACACUCCAAUGCUUGUUGUCCUGUGUCUAUAGACAAUUUGUAUGUUGUCCUUUCCUGUGUGUUCUAGGAUUGUACCAGGAAUGUGCGCUACUCUUAUCCUAGGAGAAGAUGCUGAUGAGUGAAGUUCUGAUUACUAAGAAAAAACAAGAAUGAAAAGCACUGUAAAGCCAAAGACCAGGGCUUCAGCAGCUGCUUCUUAGAAUGAACUCAAGGGCAUGACCCAACCACUGAGUCCAAGGGUGUGAGGAGAGUGUGGCCGCCUUCCAGACUCUUCUGUCCUGGCUUACUUAUCCUAUCGCCUGAUUCCUUUUGUUAAGGUCAUCAUUCUGAAACAUCAUUCUAUGCUGCUCAUCCCUGUGUCCACCACUCUCUCAACACACACCACACACACCACACACACACACACACACACACACACACACACACACACACACACCUCUAUCUGUAUUUCAGAUUCAGCCUUCACACUAAUCCUUCAAGGGGGCUUUUCCACCACCUCCCUUUCUCACAAAUACCAGCCGCACUCCCAUUCCGUGGCCUUUCCCAUCACUUUUCAUGGUAUACACGUUUUCAAAACCAUUGUUAAAUGUGACCAUCUCAUGAAUCUCUGGGCUCCUUGAUGUCAAAACCGUCUUGCUGUUUAGCCACACCCUAAACAAAGCCUAGCAUCUAGAUCCAAGGAUACAUACAGCCAAUAACUGAAUAUUUGUCAGAAGAACAAGUAUUCAAAAGUUUAGCAAUUCAUCUCUUGUUGACAGUGCCUUAAAAGCCUGUUUCAAUCACUUAUUAACUGUCCUGCUGCCCCUUUGUGUCUAACCUAAUACUUGGCAUUUCCUAUAGUCCCCCCUCUUCAGUGCAUUGAGUUUCCAUGACCCUGGUUUCCUGCCCCAGAUUCCAUGUUUACAAAAGCUUUGCACUACAAGAUCUAUCUAAAAAACCUGAGAUAACUCCCUUAAACUCCUCACUAAGCAGUCAGUACCCAUUAUGUCUUUCUGUAGCAUCCCGUAUCCAGUGUUAGCUUCUGCUCUAAUCACCUACCUAAACAGCUUCCAUGGGGACUCCACUUAUAGGCAAGGCUCAGAUAAUACUGAAGGAUAAAUCAAGGACAAGGGAUGCUGAGCUUCUUAAGAGUACAACUCCUACAGAAACCUCUCUAGCACAGUAGUUGGUGGCGCACAUAGUAGGUACUCAUCAUGAGUUUACUUGAAAACCAUUCUCCUCUGGAUGUGAUAUGAGGAGGCAAAGAAAUAUUAUACAGCACUGUGGUCUUUGAAAUAUUACAGCCAUGCAUACAUGUAGCCUUGGGAAAAGGCUUAACCCCACUGAGGAUAAUGCCACUGUCUAUGACCCGUGUGAAUGGGUCCACAAGUUCUACAAUUGUUGAGCCCACAAGACAGAUUCAAUCUCCACCACAUUUUUCCUUCCCUAUUGUCCAAAAAUUCAUAGACAUCAACUUCUGGGAACCCAAGAGUAAUACAUGGGUUAGAACCCAGAGUAAGAGACCUUUUUCCAUGUUCCCAGCCAGCCAGCAUAUGAUAAAACCUAUGCCCUGUUGCUCCUUCUCAAACUGUGCACCCUGAUGGAGGGAAAGGUGGCUGGAAUCGCCUCAAAGAUGACUCAGUUCAGUGACUAAGGCAAGGAGGUACCGAUAGUGGGAAGCAGGUGGGGGCGAAGAGGAAAUGAGUGCGCACUGUAUCUCGAAACAAGCUCUAACACAAAGAGAUCUGAUCUGGUACCUAUUGUGGCCCCGAUACCACACAGACGGGGCCUGGGUGCUUCCUUGUGUUGUCUGCCUUACUUCAUAGUGUGCUUCCUAUACGCUGCAGCAUACCAGCGCUCAGCAUCCUCUGUUCUCUAGGGUGGGUUAGAUGGGUAUUGGACCCUUGAAUAUCACUGUGGAUGGACUGUCUUUUUAAGUACAUCCUGUAUCCCCAACCAGUUUGCAUCUGCUGGGUACCAGACUGUCUCUUUCACCCAUGGUUGAACUCACAUCCCUGAGCAUUGGGCAAACAGUGUGUCUGCACAUGAGCACACCACAUUCAGCUCCUCUGAUGGUUAACUGUGCCACCAUUUACCUAAUCACCCAAGCUAGAAUCCAUCUUCUGGACCCAUCAGUCACUCCAGUGUCCAGAGGAGCACCAGUUCCAAGAUUUCUCUUAUCUUUUCUCUUGUCCUUCCCCUCCUGCAGCUGGUGUAGACAAAUUACCACCGUCAUCCAUUAUGGCUGUUUCUCCCCUCGCCGGUCUGGCCUGCUGACCCCACCCCACAAAUUCAUACAUACAGUGACACACCCUAGAGUGCAGUCAGCCCUCCGAGUCGCAUAUCGCACUACAACCUUCCCACUUCCAAAUCUUCCAACCCGCCAUUCCUUUUCUCAGGUGUGUGCUUCUCAGUCAAAAUUCCCCAUCGUUUUCAUUUCGCUUGCACUGUCUCUCCUGUGGGAGCCCCUGUUGUGCUGGCUUGGUUAUGCCUCUCUCUCUCUCUCUCUCUCUCUCUCUCUCUCUCUCUCUCUCUCUCUCUCUUCCUUCCUUUCUUUCUUUCCUUCCUUCCUUCCCUCCCCCUCUCUCUUUCUCUCUCUCUUUCUUUCUUUCUUUCCUUCUCUCUCUCUUUCUCCCCCCUCCUUCUCUUUCUCUUUCUUGUUUAGUCCUUUCCGAGGACUGAGAGAUCCUU
Molecule: non-coding RNA, 8781 nt
Organism: Rattus norvegicus (Norway rat)
Lineage: Eukaryota; Metazoa; Chordata; Mammalia; Rodentia; Muridae
Source: RefSeq, a predicted model, not a curated record